CCUACGGUAGGCAGCAGUGCGGAAUAUUGGUCAAUGGGCGGAAGCCUGAACCAGCCAAGUAGCGUGCAGGAUGACGGCCCUACGGGUUGUAAACUGCUUUUAUACGGGAAUAACGCGCCUUACGUGUAGGGCUUUGCAUGUACCGUAUGAAUAAGGACCGGCUAAUUCCGUGCCAGCAGCAGCGGUAAUACGGCAGGUCCGGGCGUUCGCCGGAUUUAUUGGGUUUAAAGGGAGCGUAGGCCGCAUGUCAAGCGUGCUGUGAAAUGUCCGGGCUCAACCCGGGCCUUGCAGCGCGAACUGGCGUGCUUGAGUCCGCGGAAAGCAGGCGGAAGUCGUCGUGUAGCGGUGAAAUGCUUAGAUAUGACGAAGAACCCCGAUUGCGAAGGCAGCUUGCUGCAGCGGAACUGACGCUGAUGCUCGAAAGCGCGGGUAUCGAACAGGAUUAGAGACCCUAGUAGUC
Molecule: ribosomal RNA, 460 nt
Filed under: uncultured bacterium
Lineage: Bacteria
Description: partial 16S ribosomal RNA
Rfam family: Bacterial small subunit ribosomal RNA
Source: RNAcentral